GCGGGUGUAGCUCAAUGGCCAGAGUCCCAGCCUUCCAAGCUGGUUAUGCCGGUUCGAUCCCGGUCACCCGCUCCA
Molecule: transfer RNA, 75 nt
Filed under: Streptosporangiales bacterium
Lineage: Bacteria; Bacillati; Actinomycetota; Actinomycetes; Streptosporangiales
Description: tRNA-Gly
Rfam family: tRNA
About the family: Transfer RNA (tRNA) molecules are approximately 80 nucleotides in length.
Source: RNAcentral